UAGGGAUUAUUGGUAAUGUGCGAAAGCGCGAACCAGCAACGCCGCGUGCACGAUGAAGGCCUUCGGGUCGUAAAGUGCUUUUAGAGAGGAUGAGGAAGGACAGUACUUUCUGAAUAAGCCUCGGCUAACUACGUGCCAGCAGCCGCGGUAAAACGUAGGAGGCAACCGUUAUCCGGAUUUACUGUGCGUAAAGCGCAUGCAGGUGGUUUUGUAAGUUGGAUGUGAAAGCUCCUGGCUUAACUGGGAGAGGUCGUUCAAAACUACAAGACUUGAGAUUGGUAGAGGAAGGUGGAAUUCCGGGUGUAGUGGUGAAAUGCGUAGAUAUCCGGAGGAACACCAGUAGCGAAAGCGGCCUUCUGGACAAAUUCUGACACUCAGAUGCGAAAGCUAAGGUAGCAAACG
RNAcentral lists this ribosomal RNA (402 nucleotides) under uncultured bacterium. Its description in RNAcentral is "bacterial SSU rRNA". It matches the Rfam family "Bacterial small subunit ribosomal RNA", at positions 355 to 774 of the family's 1533-position model. The record is from RNAcentral.